This is an RNA transcript of Rosa rugosa (rugosa rose), 2119 nucleotides long. It is a transcript of the gene named histone-lysine N-methyltransferase ASHR2, with no coding region annotated. The transcript has 4 exons. NCBI's taxonomy places the organism in Eukaryota, Viridiplantae, Streptophyta, Magnoliopsida, Rosales, Rosaceae. The record is from RefSeq and is a predicted model, not a curated record.
GGAAAAACCUUGCUAUUUUCAGAAAAACCCUACGGGUCUGAAAACGCCGAGUGGCCAAAUGGCAAUGACAAAGGAGGUGAGGCUAACGGAGAUACAAGGCAGAGGAAGGUCAUUAGUGGCGGCUGAGCCACUCAAAGGCGGCCAAAUCGUUCUCCGCGACUCUCCUCUCCUCCUCUACUCCGCUCUUCCUCUCCUCACUCCCUCUCCUCCCCCUUAUUGCGACCACUGCUUCAAAACCCUAAACCCACAAACCGCCCCCAUUUCACUCUGCCAAUCCUGCUCCCUCCACGCCUUCUGCACCCCCAAUUGCCUCUCCGCCGCCCAGUCCUCCUCCCACACUCAAUGGGUCUGCCAAUCUCUCACGAAAUUACGAAAUUGCCACUCCCCGCUCUCCGGCCAGCCCGCCGACCGUCAGGUCCAAGCUCGCUUCUUGAUCGCCGCUUACAACCUCGCCGUCACUUCGCCGUCGAGUUUCCAGGUGCUGCUCUCUCUUCAGGGCCAGCCGCAGGACUCCGCCGCCGACGCUCAGUUCCUGCAUUCUCUGAUUUCGACCCUCUGCCCUCCGCCGCCGCCGCAGCAGCAACUGUUUUCGGUGGAGCUCACGGCGGCGCUGCUGGCCAAGGACAAGAUGAAUGCGUUUGGAUUGAUGGAGCCCCCUUCGGAAUUUGGGCUGAGAUCGAGCAGAGCCUAUGGUAUUUAUCCCAAGGCCUCGUUUUUCAACCAUGAUUGUCUCCCCAAUGCGUGCCGAUUUGAUUAUGUUGAUGAAGGCAGCACGGAGAUUAUUGUGAGGAUGAUUCACGAUGUUCCGGAGGGGAGGGAGAUUUGCCUGAGCUACUUUCCAGUUAACCAGGCUUAUUCGAGCAGGCAGAGGACUCUGGCUGAGGACUAUGGGUUUGUGUGUCAAUGUGAUCGAUGCAAGGUUGAGGCGAAUUGGUCUGACAAUGAGGAGGAAGGUGGUUCGGCUGAGGUUAUGGAUGAGGACCAAGACCAGGAAAUGGAAGGAGAAUCGGAAUCAGAAGCUGGGAGUGACAUUGAAGUAGAAGCUCAAGGAGAAGCUGAUUUUCCACAUGCAUAUUUCUUUGUGAGAUUUAUGUGUAGUAGAACCCAUUGCUGGGGCACGCUAGCGCCUUUGCCCCCGAAAGACGAUGGAACUCCUUCGGAUGCUAUGGAAUGCAAUGUGUGUGGAAGUGUUAAGAAAGAUGAGGAGAUUAGUGGUCAUGGACAAAAUGGGCUCUCUUUGGAUGGCUAACUGCUCCUUAUUGCUGCUUUAUGGAAAUACCAUAAUGCAAACAAAGAAAACAACACCCACCAAUCAAGGAUAUUUAUAUAAAGACGCUGUGACUUUGCAACAUUGGUGAAGUACUGGGAUGAUGCAGUUUACCCACGAGUUUUUACCGGGUGGCCAACAGCAAUCAUUUGAAGUUUAUGUUUUAGGCAGCAAGUUUUUGCUUUGCUCGAAAGGAUGGGGAGAGUGAACAAAGCCGUACCAAUUGUUAUUAUCUUUCUUAAAGCUAAUGACAGUCAUAGAUUUGUACUAACGUAUUUGUAAUAAGGUUUGGAAGACUACAAUCAUUUGUUCCUUCAACCAAUCUCUCUGCUCCAACAAAUUUCCCUAAUCUCUCUAAGUGGAUCAUUUCUCUUUUCGGUAAGGAAUCUUCAGCAACUAUGGAAGAUUGUAAUCUUAUGGGCUGGCAAAUUUGGGGAGCGAGGAACAAUUUUAUUUUCAACAAUACUCCUGCUUUCCCAAAUAAUGUCAUUCAUAUUGCUGCCUCAGUUGGUUCCAACUACAGAAGAAACAAUUCGCCUUCUAUCAAGCUAAGGCUGGCUCCUUUUGGUUCAAUUUCUGUCUAACCUGCAUGUGUAGAUGCACGUUGACCUCGACUGGAGUUAGAAAUCAGAGAUUGCUGAGUUGUGGUGGUUUCGACUCCUCAGUUCAUCAUCAGUCGAGUUCCGGAAGGAUUUCCGAAAAUCUGCUGCGAGUUGGAAUAGAUGCUUGAGGUUUCAACCUGCAAAUUAUACUUAACUGAAUGUAAAUUCGAGGUUCUGGACAGAAAUGUUUCUUGAUUUACUUUUGGCCUGAGAAUUUGGUUGAUUUGUGUUGAAUGGGACGUUGUUGGUA